RNAcentral lists this ribosomal RNA (196 nucleotides) under Trichoderma virens. RNAcentral's name for it is "partial large subunit ribosomal RNA". It matches the Rfam family "Eukaryotic large subunit ribosomal RNA", at positions 82 to 279 of the family's 3401-position model. The record is from RNAcentral. Lineage: Eukaryota; Fungi; Ascomycota; Sordariomycetes; Hypocreales; Hypocreaceae.
AGUAACGGCGAGUGAAGCGGCAACAGCUCAAAUUUGAAAUCUGGCCCCUCGGGGUCCGAGUUGUAAUUUGUAGAGGAUGCUUUUGGUGAGGUGCCGCCCGAGUUCCCUGGAACGGGACGCCACAGAGGGUGAGAGCCCCGUCUGGCUGGCCACCGAGCCUCUGUAAAGCUCCUUCGACGAGUCGAGUUGUUUGGGA